GGGAACUUAGAUUUGCCCGAAUGGAAGAAGAGGACCCUUGGAUGGAGACUGAAUCUGUUAAGGAACAAGAGGGUUGGCUGCAGAGAAGAAGGAGGGACUGGUGGAGACAAUCACAGCUCAGGGGAAGAGCCAAAACAGAGGAGGAGAUGAGUUUGACUGCACUGAAGAAACAGAGAAAGAAGAACAGAGCGUCUAAAGGGGAAAUGGUAAAUGUGGAUGAUGUGAAUCUCUCUCUGCCUUCCUUAAAUAAUCUUUAACAAACUAAAAACUAAAAUCCUGAAAUGAGGAGUGUGACAGGACUAAAAUACAAAGAAGUUCAGUUCAAUUUAGUCGCUCAGUCAUGUUUGACUCUUUGUGACCCCAUGGACUGCAGCACGCCAGGCUUUCCUGUCCAUUGUGAACAUCCAGAGCCUGCACAAACUCGUGUUCAUCGAGUCAGUGAAGCCAUCUAACCAUCUCAUCAUCUGUUAUCCUCUUCUCCUCUCGCCUUCAUCUUUCCCAGCAUCAGGAUAUUUCCAAUCAGUUAGUUCUUCACAUCAGGUGGCCACAGUAUUAGAGUUUCAGCUUCAGCAUCAGUCCUUCCAAUGAAUAUUCAGGACUGAUUUCCUUUAGGAUAGACUGGUUGGAUCUCCUUGCAGUCCAAGGGACUUUCAAGAGUCCUCUCCAACACCACAGUUCAAAAGCAUCAGUUAUUCACCACUCAGCUUUCUUUAUAUUCCAACUCUCACAUCUAUACAUGACUACUAGAAAAACCAUAGCCUUGACUAGACAGACCUUUGUUGGCAAAGUAAUGACUCUGCUUUUUAAUACACUGUUUAGGUUGGUCCUUUAGCUUUCCUUCCAAGGAGCAAGUGUCUUUUAAUUUCAUGUCUGCAGUCACCAUCUGCAGUGAUUUUGGAGCCCCCAAAAAUAAAGUCUGACACUAUUUCCACUGUUUCCCCAUCUAUUUCCCAUGAAGUGAUGGGACCAGAUGCCAUGAUCUUCGUUUUCUGAAUGUUGAGCUUUAAGCCAACU
Molecule: long non-coding RNA, 1014 nt
Filed under: Ovis aries (sheep)
Lineage: Eukaryota; Metazoa; Chordata; Mammalia; Artiodactyla; Bovidae
Description: lncRNA (ENSOARG00000025834.1)
Source: RNAcentral